CUUUAUGUGCUGCAAGGAGCUCUGAGGAGGGAAGGUCCUUCUGAAAUUCCCUGGUUUUGAGUGCAACAUCACUGAUUUUUAGUCUUUUUUGGUGUUUAAACACAAUUCUGGCUGCUUGCAGGACCCAAAGCUUUGUGUGUUAUUUAUCUAACCCUGAGCCAUGUUCCCAGCACACUUUUCUUUUCCCAGGAAAUGUCUCCUGGUACAAGGUGAGUGGAGUUUCAUACCCACAGCAGAUCCUCAGCUCAGCACCUCACUGUGGCACCUGCAGAGAGCUGGAAAAUGCAGGUAAACAAUUGCUUUAGUCACUCUGUUUUUAUAAAAUCCCCUCCUGGAGCUUUAGGAUGAGGCAAGUCCAGUGUGGAGCCAAAUCUCACCAUGAAGGAGGUGCAGGAAACUGAGAGGAUGAGCUCAGACUUUCUGAUAAUUUCUUUCUUCUCUGCAUUCUCCUUCUCCCCUUCUGCCCUUUUUGUGUACUGCCUCAAACAUUGUCCUCAAAGUGACAGUGGGACAUGGGCAGAGUAGUGAAAGCUGGCCUUCUGAAAUGCAGGAUCACCAAAGGAGUGGUUGCAAUGAAAUUAGGUUUAGAAGACAUUUAGAAUCUUAGAUAUUUAAGAUUCUAACUGCUGUAAAGCCACCCAAGAGGUGUUACUGCUGUGCUUUACAACACCCCUCAUCUGGCUAAAUUUGGGGAUUUUUACAGUGACCCAGGUUUACUCCUGUGCAUCCUCAGUCCUGCAGGUGAGAGAAGCAGCUGCAAUAGUCAGCAGGACUUUUAAAAGAGCACAGAAUUCUGUGUUUCUGGGGGUUCUGAAGCAGAGAUUCCCUCCUGAUUUGCAAGAACUCCCCCAGAGCACUGCUAGCAGCUCCUACCACCCUACUUCUGCUCCCUAGACAGCUCACAAAUGAUGCCACACAGCUAAAACAAAUAUCUAGUCUGCUGUGAACACCUGAGCUCACCAGGGAGAAGCUCCAUUUGGCACAAAAUAAUUGUACAAAAGUCUUUGUGGUCCUGAAGGAAAACUUUUAUUUCCACAAUUUUUCCCCACUCUCAUCCCAAAAUGCUGUUACCCAACCCUGGAGUGUGGGCUGAGCAGAGCUCAGGGAUGUCUGGCAACCCCCAGGGAAGUAGCCAAAGAUAAAAGUGUCCAAAAAGAGAAGAAAACAAGUGAGUAAUUCAUUUUUCCACUCAAUAUCUGGGUCACGGGAUUAUUUUACUUCUGGGCUCCAAAUUACUGCAACUUUCCUGAAAGAUUUCAGUCCUGGGAAGGCCAAAAGAGCAAUUUCAGAGCAGCUCCACUGCAGGUCCCUGAGGAAUCAGUUUCCAAUCAGUUUCCAAUCAGUUUCCAAUCAGUUUCCAAUCAGUUUCCAAUCAGUUUGCACUUCCCUCUCUCCCCACCUCCUGAGGAGGUUUCCAUCUCUCCCCCUCUGUUUUCCCAGCAGGAUUUUCCCCUGGGAUCAGUUUUUGCCUGGAUCACUGGGCAGGGAGAAGCUGGGACAGGAGUCAGAGCUGUCCCUGCCGUGGAUUCUGCCCUUCCCACCCAACGUGGGGCCCUGACUGCUGGGCAUUAAAGGAACAUUUCCAGUUGAUUUCUGAGAUCAGGGAGCAGAGCUGUGGUGUUGCUGCUGUGUCCAGCUGAGGCUCUGAAAUGUCCACCUGGGUAUUUGAAACUGGAUUUUCUAGCCCAAUAGAAGCAAAUGUUGCACCAGGUCACCUGGCUUUUCCCUUUCCCCUUCACCUCCCUACUCCUGAAUUAGGAUUUCCAGGGCAGCUUGGGAUGGGAAGCUUCUGGGAGAAGUUCUGGGAUCUUCAGCUGGCACAAACCAAUGCUUCAUUAUCAAAAGUCUGUUUUAAAGUGCAGGACACCAACUCCAGGAUCUGCUGUUUCCUAGAAUAUCCUCACUCAAGAAGAAAUAAGGGACAACAAAAACCAUCUGCGUCCAACAGCAAGUUUUAGGAGCUGCACAGGACAAGUGGUGGAAGAUCUCCAGAUCCUGGAAAGGAUCCAGUGGAAUCCAGGGCUGCCUUUGGCACCUCACACAGGGAACCCAGAACAAGCAGCCCUUGCUCUCGGGAGCUGCCCAGCAGAAUCCAGGAUGCAGAAUUUGUUGUUCUGGGAACCCAGAACAAGCAGCCCUUGCUCUCGGGAGCUGCCCAGCAGCAGGAGCACAGGGCUGGAUUUAAAUCCCAUCCCUCGGCUCUCCAGGAAGGGGAUGCAUUCCUCCCAGGAUCUACAGCCCGGGACAAACAUUCCCCAGAAGUUUUUGCCUGAUCCAGUGCUUUCACAAAGUGAAUAAGCUGUAAAAACCCCAAACCUGGAGAAGGGCUGUACCCCAGUACCACCUGGAGCAUCCCCAGCAAGCUCCCCAUGAUGGGAAGGCUCUGUCCCCAUAGCUGCUCCUCUCUGGGACUCCUGUCCUGUUCUGCCACCUCAAUUCCAGCGCCCCUUUGCGCCCCGCCGGCUCCCCGCUUACCUUCAGCGUAGCCUUGCGGACCUGCCCGAGCGCCCUGAGCCCGCCGAGGGAUCCCGCCUGGAAGUUGCGGUAC
Long non-coding RNA from Serinus canaria (Common canary), 2548 nucleotides. RefSeq lists it as uncharacterized. The record is from RefSeq and is a predicted model, not a curated record. NCBI's taxonomy places the organism in Eukaryota, Metazoa, Chordata, Aves, Passeriformes, Fringillidae. The transcript has 3 exons.